GAUGAACGCUGGCGGCGUGCCUAAUACAUGCAAGUCGAGCGAACGGACGAGAAGCUUGCUUCUCUGAUGUUAGCGGCGGACGGGUGAGUAACACGUGGAUAACCUACCUAUAAGACUGGGAUAACUUCGGGAAACCGUAGCUAAUACCGGAUAAUAUUUUGAACCGCAUGGUUCAAAAGUGAAAGACGGUCUUGCUGUUACUUAUAGAUGGAUCCGCGCUGCAUUAGCUAGUUGGUAAGGUAACGGCUUACCAAGGCAACGAUGCAUAGCCGACCUGAGAGGGUGAUCGGCCACACUGGAACUGAGACACGGUCCAGACUCCUACGGGAGGCAGCAGUAGGGAAUCUUCCGCAAUGGGCGAGAGCCUGACGGAGCAACGCCGCGUGAGUGAUGAAGGUCUUCGGAUCGUAAAACUCUGUUAUUAGGGAAGAACAUAUGUGUAAGUAACUGUGCACAUCUUGACGGUACCUAAUCAGAAAGCCACGGCUAACUACGUG
Molecule: ribosomal RNA, 497 nt
Filed under: uncultured bacterium
Lineage: Bacteria
Description: partial 16S ribosomal RNA
Rfam family: Bacterial small subunit ribosomal RNA
Source: RNAcentral